RNAcentral lists this ribosomal RNA (400 nucleotides) under uncultured bacterium. Its description in RNAcentral is "bacterial SSU rRNA". It matches the Rfam family "Bacterial small subunit ribosomal RNA", at positions 356 to 773 of the family's 1533-position model. The record is from RNAcentral.
UGGGAAUCUUGGACAAUGGGGGAAACCCUGAUCCAGCCAUGCCGCGUGAGUGAUGAAGGCCUUCGGGUUGUAAAACUCUUUCGACGGGGACGAUAAUGACGGUACCCGUAGAAGAAGCUCCGGCUAACUUCGUGCCAGCAGCCGCGGUAAUACGAAGGGGGCUAGCGUUGUUCGGAAUUACUGGGCGUAAAGCGCGCGCAGGCGGCUAUCCAAGUCAGUGGUGAAAGCCCGGAGCUCAACUCCGGAACUGCCAUUGAAACUGUUUAGCUUGAGGACGAGAGAGGUGAGUGGAAUUCCCAGUGUAGAGGUGAAAUUCGUAGAUAUUGGGAAGAACACCAGUGGCGAAGGCGGCUCACUGGCUCGUAUCUGACGCUCAGGCGCGAUAGCGUGGGGAUCAAAC